RNAcentral lists this small nuclear RNA (254 nucleotides) under Rattus norvegicus (Norway rat). Its description in RNAcentral is "7SK RNA". It matches the Rfam family "7SK RNA", at positions 1 to 278 of the family's 331-position model. Rfam says of the family: 7SK was discovered as an abundant small nuclear RNA in the mid-70s but a possible function has only recently been suggested. Two independent studies have found that 7SK RNA binds the CDK9/cyclin T complex (known as elongation factor P-TEFb). The record is from Rfam by way of RNAcentral. Lineage: Eukaryota; Metazoa; Chordata; Mammalia; Rodentia; Muridae.
AGAUGUGAGGGGGAACUGACAGCAGCAUCUGCUACUCCCUUGAUGCCUAGGGUUGGUUUUGUUGACUUGGCUGGCUUGACAGGUAUCUUCUUUCUCUCUUGCUGCUACAUGUGUGUCCCUCCUGAGACCAGCAGAUGAUCUUCCCCAGAAGGGGAGGACAUUUCUCCAGUCAAGGGUAAAGCAGAGACUGUACUUGCCUGCUAGAACUUCUAAAACAAACCCUGAAGAGUAGAUUACGGGUUCUAGGGUGCGCU